UUUAUAGCUCAGUGGUAGAGCGCUUGCCUAGCAUGUAUGAGGUACUGGGUUCAUUCCUCAGCACCACAUUAAAA
This 74-nucleotide transfer RNA is filed under the name Marmota monax (woodchuck). Its description in RNAcentral is "tRNA.Ala". Lineage: Eukaryota; Metazoa; Chordata; Mammalia; Rodentia; Sciuridae. The record is from RNAcentral.